Molecule: long non-coding RNA, 149 nt
Organism: Homo sapiens (human)
Lineage: Eukaryota; Metazoa; Chordata; Mammalia; Primates; Hominidae
Product: long intergenic non-protein coding RNA 1943
Source: Ensembl
AUUUAAGCUGAGAUCUGAAUGAUGUCCAGGAGCCAGUCAGCAGCAUUCCAGGACAAGAGAGCAGCUGUCGCCAAGACCCCAAGACACAAAGGAACAAGCUUCUGGGUCGAGAAAGGCCAAGUUGCACACUACUGAGAGACUGCCAUGCA